UGUUCGAGCGUCAUUUAACCACUCACGCUUAGCGUGGUAUUGGAGCACGCGGUCUCGCGGCCCUCAAAAAUUAGUGGCGGCGCCGGUGGGCUCUAAGCGUAGUACAUACUCCCGCUAUAGAGUUUCUCCGGUGGCUCGCCAGAACCCCCAAUUUUUUACAGGUUGACCUCGGAUCAGGUAGGGAUACCCGCUGAACUUAA
RNAcentral lists this unclassified non-coding RNA (200 nucleotides) under soil metagenome. RNAcentral describes it as "partial contains internal transcribed spacer 2 and large subunit ribosomal RNA". The record is from RNAcentral.